RNAcentral lists this ribosomal RNA (427 nucleotides) under uncultured bacterium. RNAcentral describes it as "bacterial SSU rRNA". It matches the Rfam family "Bacterial small subunit ribosomal RNA", at positions 355 to 774 of the family's 1533-position model. The record is from RNAcentral.
UGGGGAAUUUUGGACAAUGGGCGCAAGCCUGAUCCAGCCAUACCGCGUGGGUGAAGAAGGCCUUCGGGUUAUAAAGCCCUUUUGUUGGGAAAGAAAUCCAGCCGGCUAAUACCUGGUUGGGAUGACGGUACCCAAAGAAUAAGCACCGGCUAACUUCGUGCCAGCAGCCGCGGUAAUACGAAGGGUGCAAGCGUUACUCGGAAUUACUGGGCGUAAAGCGUGCGUAGGUGGUUAUUUAAGUCUGUCGUGAAAGCCCUGGGCUCAACCUGGGAAUUGCGAUGGAUACUGGGCGACUAGAGUGCUGUAGAGGGUAGUGGAAUUUCCGGUGUAGCAGUGAAAUGCGUAGAGAUCGGAAGGAACAUCUGUGGCGAAGGCGACUACCUGGGCCAGCACUGACACUGAGGCACGAAAGCGUGGGGAGCAAACA